GUCAGUGAUUUGCCUUUGAUCUCACAGCUGUUUAGGAUGCAGUCAUUAACGAGACACACACACACACACACACACACACACACACACACACACACAUUCUUGUACUUGUUGCUUUAUGAGGUCUACCUUGCAGUUCAGCUGCUUGUACACACAGUUAAUAUGUGUCUGCUUCGCCACCUAUCUCCACCCACAAACUUUGAGCUACAGAAACCAUUCUGGGCUUCUAAAAUUCAGCUCAUUGAAGAUAUUAUGGGGUGUUUUGAGGAUUGUGAUAAUAAAUUGUAUUAAUGUGUUUAGCAGAGUCUUGUGUUCUCACAAGCUCCUUAUCAGGAAUAGAUACAGAGGAUGAGCGUCAGGGCCUACUUGGAGUCCUGUUUCCUUAGCUUCAAGCCUUCUUUCUCCUGCUAUAGUUAUGCAUCCAAGGUCCCCAUGGCAACCAAUUAGUGCACCUGGAGACACACAGCUGACUGGAAAGCUGCUUCUAAUGGCCAUAUGAGACACAUGAAGCUAGGCUCAGCACACAUAGCACUGGGGAUGACACUUAAAACCCUUUACUAGAGAGCUUGAAAAAACUUCAGCCCCUAUCUCCUCACAUGACCUUUGACCUACAGAAACCAUUCAGGGCUUUAAAAUUUGAGCUCAUUGAGGACAUUAGGGGGUGUAUUAAGGAUUUAUAUACAUUUAGAUUUUUCACAUUUUAAAGUCACUCAGUGAUGAUUUAUCAUUUAAUUUUUCAAACUAAUUUGAACUGAUUCAAACUGAUUCAAACCUUUCUAAUACUUAAAAAAUUAAACUUAUGCCACUUCUCACCUUCCUGCCUUUUAAGGCAAUUUCCUUCUUCAUUCAAACUUUGUGCAAUUUUAGACAUUUUUCUAGCCUCUUUCAGCAUGAAUAAAAUUUCUUUUUAUAGAGCAUAUUCAUACUAUUUGUCCUUCAACCAAUUAAUCAAUUAUCCAACUUACAUUUCUUUCACACCCCUUCAACAGCUUUAACAUUUAUACAUUUCUCCAUGUUUUAUUAGCAGUUUAGCAUUGCUUUUUCAGCUUUCAGCACUCAGCAUUUCCACGCAUUUUCUGCAAGGAAAUGCAAUUUUUCUAGUAUUAUACUUAACACUCUCCCCAUACGUUUCUUUGGACCGCUUCUCCUCCUUCAAACUUUGUCCGAUUUCAACCGUUCAAACUUUAAACUAUUCCACUCCAUCAGGACAUGUGUGCUUGUAUUUUUUUCCUUUCUAUCCUUUGUACUUUUUAUUAUUUUUCACUUUUUGUUCCAAACUUUUUUCCCAUAGAAAUGAAUGGGGAAAUCUUCCAAUUCUUCCUGUUAUUCGUGCACCUUCUAAGCCUUAUAACUUCAGCAUACUUUCACCUAGAGACCUCAUUUUUGCUUUAAAAUGUUCAUUGUCUUGUCGACUAUUGAUGUUGUAUUAACCUUUUUGUGCUAUCUUUUACAGUUUUUCCACAAUUUAGCUUUAUGCAACUUGUGGUUUUCAGCAAAUUUCAGGCUUUAUAAUAGGGGUGUAUUGGAGAGGCUAGAGUGAUGAUUUGAAAAGCUAGAGUGCAGACCUCCUCCCUGAUCGACAGAACCUCGCUCGAAUAUAUCGCUCCCACGCCCACAAAUCUCACUCCACAGCCAUAAAAAAUACAUCAAAAUGGAGGUAUAUGUGUCCUGCUUCUCACAAAAGAGGUUUCAAAUCAUUAAAUCUUACCCCUUGGCCAGCAGGUGACCAACUGUCCAAAUAGGCGGAAAUCUCUCCCCAUUGGCUCUAAUGUAUUUUUUCUCCAAGAAAAUCCUUAUCGCCACUCAGGCUCAGACUUUUUUAACUCGCUGUUGUGGCGACAUUUUUCGGAGUACAGACAUGAAAAACACAUCAUUGUGUUCAUGAAGGGCGGAGGAUUUGUACGAUGUUCUUAUUUUCAUUCUGGGACUUAAGGAAAUCGUGCUAUGUGAAGAAGUUCAGAACCCUAAAUUCACUGCAGUUCAGCAGCUUCUCCAUUCAAACAAUAGGUCAGUUCAUGGCUUUGAUCUUACAGCUGUUUAGGAUGCAGUCAUUAACGAGACACACACACACACACACACACACACAUUCUUGUACUUGUUGCUUUAUGAGGUCUACCUUGCAGUUCAGCUGCUUGUACACACAGUUAAUAUGUGUCUGCUUCGCCACCUAUCUCCACCCACAAACUUUGAGCUACAGAAACCAUUCUGGGCUUCUAAAAUUCAGCUCAUUGAAGAUAUUAUGGGGUGUUUUGAGGAUUGUGAUAAUAAAUUGUAUUAAUGUGUUUAGCAGAGUCUUGUGUUCUCACAAGCUCCUUAUCAGGAAUAGAUACAGAGGAUGAGCGUCAGGGCCUACUUGGAGUCCUGUUUCCUUAGCUUCAAGCCUUCUUUCUCCUGCUAUAGUUAUGCAUCCAAGGUCCCCAUGGCAACCAAUUAGUGCACCUGGAGACACACAGCUGACUGGAAAGCUGCUUCUAAUGGCCAUAUGAGACACAUGAAGCCAGGCUCAGCACACAUAGCACUGGGGAUGACACUUAAAACCCUUUACUAGAGCGCUUGAAAAAACUUCAGCCCCUAUCUCCUCACAUGACCUUUGACCUACAGAAACCAUUCAGGGCUUUAAAAUUUGAGCUCAUUGAGGACAUUAUUGGGUGUAUUUAGGAUUGUUAUUCAUUUAAAUUUUUCACAUUUUAAAAGUCAGUCAGUGAUGAUUUAUCAUUUAAUUUUUCAAACUAAUUUGAACUCAUUCAAACUGAUUCAAACCUUUCUAAUACUUAAAAAAUUAAUCUUAUACCACUUCUCACUUUCCUGCCUUUUGAGGCAAUUUCCUUCUUCAUUCAAACUUUGUGCAAUUUUAGACAUUUUUCUAGCCUCUUUCAGCAUGAAUAAAAUUUCUUUUUAUAGAGCAUAUUCAUACUAUUUGUCCUUCAACCAAUUAAUCAAUUAUCCAACUUACAUUUCUUUCACACCCCUUCAACAGCUUUAACAUUUAUACAUUUCUCCAUGUUUUAUUAGCAGUUUAGCAUUGCUUUUUCAGCUUUCAGCUUUCAGCACUCAGCAUUUCCACGCAUUUUCUGCAAGGAAAUGCAAUUUUUCUAGUAUUAUACUUAACACUCUCCCCAUACGUUUCUUUGGACCGCUUCUCCUCCUUCAAACUUUGUCCGAUUUCAACCGUUCAAACUUUAAACUAUUCCACUCCUUCAGGACAUGAUGGCUAUUACUUUUCUCUUUUCUACCCUUUAUACUUUUUAUUAUUUUUCACUUUUUGUGCCAAACUUUUUUUCCCAUAGAAAUGAAUGGGGAAAUCUUUCAAUUCUUCCUGUUAUUCGUCCACCUUCUAAGCCUUAUAACUUCAGCAUACUUUCACCUAGAGACCUAAUUUUUGCUUUAAAAUGUUCAUUGUCUUGUCGACUAUUGAUAUUGUAUUAACCUUUUUGUGCUAUCUUUUACAGUUUUUCCACAAUUUAGCUUUAUGCAACUUGCGGUUUUCAGCAAAUUUCAGGCUUUAUAAUAGGGGUGUAUUGGAGAGGCUAGAGUGAUGAUGUCAUCAGCUAGAGUGCAGACCUCGUCUCUGAUCAACACAACCUCGCUCGAAUAUAUCGCUCCCACGCCCACAAAUCUCACUCCACAGCCAUAAAUAAUAGAUCAAAAUGGAGGUAUAUGUGUCCUGCUUCUCACAAAAGAGGUUUCAAAUCAUUAAAUCGUACCCCUUGGCCAGCAGGUGACCAACUGUCCAAGGAAGGCGGAAAUGUCUCCCAUUGACCAUAAUGUUAUUUUUCUCCAGGAAAAUCCGGAUCAUCGCUCAGGCUCAGACUUUUUUAACUCGCUGUUGUGGCCUCAUUUUUCGAAGUACAGACAUGAAAAACACAUCAUUGUGUUCAUGAAGGACGGAGGAUUCGUACGAUGUUCUUAUUUUCAUUCUGGGACUUAAGGAAAUCACGCUAUGUGAAGAAGUUCACAGGCUUCAAAUCCUCUGCUGUUCAGCUGCUUCUCAUUCAAACAGUAGGUCAGUGAUUUGCCUUUGAUCUCACAGCUGUUAGGGAUGCAGUCAUUAAUGAGACACACACACACACACACACACACACAUUCUUGUACUUGUUGCUUUGUCAGGUCUACCUUGCAGUUCAGCUGCUUGUACACACAGUUAAUAUGUGUCUGCUUCACCACCUAUCUCCACCCACAAACUUUGAGCUACAGAAACCAUUCUGGGCUUGAAAAAUUCAGCUCAUUGAAGAUAUUAUGGGGUGUUUUGAGGAUUGUGAUAAUAAAUUGUAUUAAUGUGUUCAGCAAAAUCUUGUGUUCUCACAAGCUCCUUAUGAAUAUAUACAGAGGGUGAGCGUCAGGGCCUACUUGGAGUCCUGUUUCUUUAGCUUCAAGCCUUCUUUCUCCUGCUAUAGUUAUGCAUCCAAGGUCCCCAUGGCAACCAAUUUGUGCACCUGGAGACACACAGCUGACUGGAAAGCUGCUUCUAAUGGCCAUAUGAGACACAUGAAGCCAGGCUCAGUACACAUAGCACUGGGGAUGACACUUAAAACCCUUUCCUAGAGCGCUUGAAAAAACUUCAGCCCCUAUCUCCUCACAUGACCUUUGACCUACAGAAACCAUUCAGGGCUUUAAAAUUUAAGCUCAUUGAGGACAUUAUGGGGUGUAUUUAGGAUUGUUAUUCAUUUAAAUUUUUCACAUUUUAAAAGUCACUCAGUGAUGAUUUAUCAUUUAAUUUUUCAAACUAAUUUAAACUCAUUCAAACUGAUUCAAACCUUUCUAAUACUUCAAAACUUUCUGAUACUUGAGGACUUUUGAUAAUUUAAAAUUUCCCUGUUUUAAAUUAGUUUUAAUAUUUAUGCAUUACUCCAUCAUUCAAACAAAAUCCUACCUCAAGUACGACAACUACUGCUAAUGUCAAUUAAACUAGAACUUUCCCCUCUACUUCAACUGCUAUUGCUCCUAUUUCUACUUUCUUUACUACUUUGACUUAUACUUCUUUUAUUCUCAAUCUACUUCUACUGCUGACAUGACUACUAGUAUCACGACUUGACUUCUUAUACUACAAUUUAAACUUAUGCCACUUCUCACCUUCCUGCCUUUUAAGGCAAUUUCCUUCUUCAUUCAAACUUUGUGCAAUUUUAGACAUUUUUCUAGCCUCUUUCAGCAUGAAUAAAAUUUCCUUUUAUAGAGCAUAUUCAUACUAUUUGUCCUUCAACCAAUUAAGUAGUUAUCCAACUUAUUUUUCUUUUUCAUUCCUUCAACAGCUUUAACAUUUAUACCUUUCUCCAUGUUUUAUUAGCAGUUUAGCAUUGCUUUUUCAGCUUUCAGCACUCAGCAUUUCCACGCAUUUUCUGCAAGGAAAUGCAAUUUUUCUAGUAUUAUACUUAACACUCUCCCCAUACGUUUCUUUGGACCGCUUCUCCUCCUUCAAACUUUGUCCGAUUUCAACCGUUCAAACUUUAAACUAUUCCGCUCCAUCAGGACAUGAUGGCUAUUACUUUUCUCUUUUCUACCCUUUAUACUUUUUAUUAUUUUUCACUUUUUGUGCCAAACUUUUUUCCCCAUAGAAAUGAAUGGGGAAAUCUUUCAAUUCUUCCUGUUAUUCGUCCACCUUCUACACCUUAUAACUUCAGCAUACUUUCACCUAGAGACCUAAUUUUUGCUUUAAAAUGUUCAUUGUCUUGUCGACUAUUGAUGUUGUAUUAACCUCUUGGUGCUAUCUUUUACAGUUUUUCCACAAUUUAGCUUUAUGCAACUUGUGGUUUUCAGCAAAUUUCAGGCUUUAUAAUAGGGGUGUAUUGGAGAGGCUAGAGUGAUGAUUUGAAAAGCUAGAGUGCAGACCUCGUCUCUGAUCGACAGAACCUCGCUCAAAUAUAUCGCUCCCACGCCCACAAAUCUCACUCCACAGCCAUAAAAAAUACAUCAAAAUGGAGGUAUAUGUGUCCUGCUUCUCACAAAAGAGGUUUCAAAUCAUUAAAUCCUACCCCUUGGCCAGCAGGUGACCAACUGUCCAAAUAGGCGGAAAUCUCUCCCCAUUGGCCCUAAUGUAUUUUUUCUCCAAGAAAAUCCUUAUCGCCACUGAGGCUCAGACUUUUUUAACUCGCUGUUGUGGCCACAUUUUUCGGAGUACAGACAUGAAAAACACAUCAUUGUGUUCAUGAAGGACGGAGGAUUCGUACGAUGUUCUUAUUUUCAUUCUGGGACUUAAGGAAAUCACGCUAUGUGAAGAAGUUCACAGGCUGAAAUUCACUGCAGUUCAGCACCUCUCAGUCAAACAGUAGGUUAGUGAUUUGCCUUUGAUCUCACAGCUGUUUAGGAUGCAGUCAUUAACGAGACACACACACACACACACACACAUUCUUGUACUUGUUGCUUUUUGAGGUCCACCUUGCAGUUCAGCUGCUUGUACACACAGUUAAUAUGUGUCUGCUUCACCACCUAUCUCCACCCACAAACUUUGA
Molecule: non-coding RNA, 6440 nt
Organism: Xyrichtys novacula (pearly razorfish)
Lineage: Eukaryota; Metazoa; Chordata; Actinopteri; Labriformes; Labridae
Source: the annotation of a GenBank genome assembly